This is a long non-coding RNA of Magnolia sinica, 250 nucleotides long. RefSeq lists it as uncharacterized. The record is from RefSeq and is a predicted model, not a curated record. Lineage: Eukaryota; Viridiplantae; Streptophyta; Magnoliopsida; Magnoliales; Magnoliaceae. The transcript is spliced from 3 exons.
UCAGGUAGGGGUGUUGUCACUUGUGUGCUUUCUGAAUAAGGUUAAUGCUGUUGAUGAUCCAGAUCUACUGGAACUUGUAGAGAUGGAACUCCGUGGAUGUUGUUUGAAUUGCUUGUCCUAACAGGUGCACAAGUUGGGAUGGAUUAGACUUCUAUCUUGAGAAAACGCCAUGAUUUCAGGGCUGCUUUCACCGAGUUUGAUGCAGAAAUCGUCGCCAACUUCACAGAAAGACAAAUAGCAUCAGUGGACA